This 586-nucleotide ribosomal RNA is filed under the name uncultured bacterium. Its description in RNAcentral is "partial 16S ribosomal RNA". It matches the Rfam family "Bacterial small subunit ribosomal RNA", at positions 355 to 1375 of the family's 1533-position model. The record is from RNAcentral.
UGGGGAAUUUUGGACAAUGGGGCGAAAGCCUGAUCCAGCAAUGCCGCGUGUGUGAAGAAGGCCUUCGGGUUGUAAAGCACUUUUGUCCGGAAAGAAAUCCUUGGCUCUAAUACAGUCGGGGGAUGACGGUACCGGAAGAAUAAGCACCGGCUAACUACGUGCCAGCAGCCGCGGUAAUACGUAGGGUGCAAGCGUUAAUCGGAAUUACUGGGCGUAAAGCGUGCGCAGGCGGUUUGCUAAGACCGAUGUGAAAUCCCCGGGCUCAACCUGGGAACUGCAUUGGUGACUGGCAGGCUAGAGUAUGGCAGAGGGGGGUAGAAUUCCACGUGUAGCAGUGAAAUGCGUAGAGAUGUGGAGGAAUACCGAUGGCGAAGGCAGCCCCCUGGGCCAAUACUGACGCUCAUGCACGAAAGCGUGGGGAGCAAACAGGAUUAGAUACCCUGGUAGUCCACGCCCUAAACGAUGUCAACUAGUUGUUGGGGAUUCAUUUCCUUAGUAACGUAGCUAACGCGUGAAGUUGACCGCCUGGGGAGUACGGUCGCAAGAUUAAAACUUAAAUGAAUUGACGGGGUCAUAGCUGUUUCCU